This 597-nucleotide long non-coding RNA is filed under the name Elaeis guineensis (African oil palm). RNAcentral's name for it is "long non-coding RNA (EGUI_LNC038757)". Lineage: Eukaryota; Viridiplantae; Streptophyta; Magnoliopsida; Arecales; Arecaceae. The record is from RNAcentral.
GUGUAUGUUGGUUUCAGUAGGUUCAGGUUCGUUGUUUGGAGUAGAAUGUAUUUAGAUAGAAUCUAUCGAUCUUGGUAGAAAAGGAGAAGUCUUAUGCGAUUUAUGAGACUGAGUUCAGAAAGUCUUUAGCCAAAAUAAGUAUAAAUACUGAAAAAGAGUUUCCACAGGAUUCACAAUCGUCACAUUUGAUUUUUAUUCAACAAUCAAUAAUUCUUAUACAAGGAUGGACUCAAUCAUCACAUGAUUGAUUUUAGGACACAAUUUCUAACAACUUUCACUUAGACUAAAGCCAAUCGAGACAGUAUCUUAUAUCCAUCUUUCAUUUGAAAUCAUUGAACUCUUUAAUCAUGAGAGCUUUAGUGAAGGGGUUAGCUAGAUUCUCCUUUCCAUCGAUCUUUUGAAGUUUGAUGUCAUCAUGAUUCAUGAUCUCUCACACAGGUGAUAGCGACACAGAAUAUGCUUGGUGCGAUGGUGCGACUUGAGAUCUUUUGCCUGAGCUAUGGCACUGGAGCUGUCACAGUAAAGCAAUACAGGGCUAUCAGUGGAAUGAUAGAUCCAAGAGAAUGAUAGGACUCUCACAGCAUAUGUACAUAGAGG